This is a long non-coding RNA of Myotis brandtii (Brandt's bat), 863 nucleotides long. RefSeq lists it as uncharacterized. Lineage: Eukaryota; Metazoa; Chordata; Mammalia; Chiroptera; Vespertilionidae. The record is from RefSeq and is a predicted model, not a curated record. The transcript has 2 exons.
UGGGAGGUCACCUGGGUGUCGGCUUCCCACGUGCCCAACGAGAGAUUAUCCCGUCUGUGUCCCACGGAAUCGAAGCGCCACGAGGGCAGGGCGUUUGGUGUCCUGCUGCACUGCCCACGCCUGGCACAGCACUGGGCAUACUAGUAGCAGGUCAAUAAUUGUCUGUUGAGUGGGUGACAUCACUGUUUAGUUAAGCAAACUUGCCUGGAAGCGUCGGAGCGCAGACUGCAGAUCCACACUCCAGAGCCGCUGCGCCGCCUGCUGGACGCAGAGGGGAGUUGCAGGCACUGCGGGACCCAGACAGACAACAGGGAGAUGCCCAGAGACUCGGCCUGAAGACCAGCCCACCGCGUUCCCUCCCCCACCGCAGCCCCCAGCCUGCCCAGGCGGGUCUGUCUCUGGCUUUGGGCUUCCUCUCACCGCAAGCCGGCGCGCUUGUGAAGGCUCUCACCACCCCAGGCAAACAUCUGUGCUUAGUGGCGGGAGCGGUCUGAGGUGUCUGUCUGUCUGCCUGUCUGGGAAAUUCCCCUCCUGGGCCUCCCUGUGAAUUUCUGAGACAGGAUUAACCCUCUGAGUGUCUUGCAGGAGGCCCGCCAUCCGGAGGGACAGACUGUCCACCUCUGGGGGCACUGCCCGCCGGGAGGCGCCAUUUCCAGUCUGGAACUGGCAGAGCUUCUCGAUUGCUACUCCUUUACUGAGCACCCUGUGGUCGGGGUGGCAGAGCCACAGGGUCCGGGGCGCCUGCUAACCUGGCCCAGCCCCUGAGGGUAUCUUUAGACAGUGGGGUAGGGGUGGGAGGCCUGAGCCUCUGUGCCGUUCCCUCAAUGUCAUUUUGAAAAAUAAAGUAUGUGUUUCCCACUUUA